UGUACUUCCAAGAGGGAUGAGAAACUCUUAGAUUACAAGCUUGGAUCCAACUUGGAUAUUACACACUAAGAAGAAAACAAGUUGAAAAGAUAUUACACACUUUUCAGAUCAAACAAGUAAAGAGAGAGUUUUAGACUAAAAUGUUUGAUGUUUUGCAAAUGAGAGAUACAUGGAGUUUAGAUAAAGAAGGGAGGACGAAGGAGAGGAGAGAAGACAAGAGAAAACAUGCAAGACCAUGCACAAGUGUCUUGUAAAUUACACUCAUGCAAGCUCAUGCAAGAGUAUUGUAAAUAACAACAAGUAAUAAAUGCAAAGUUUGAAGAGAAAAGGGAAAAUGGGCCAAGGCUUUGUGAGUGGGCCUUGGCUCACGAAUUGGAUUAAUAAAGGGGCUUGAAAAUGUUACUUAAGCCUCAUUAAAAACCUUGUCAAGAAAACCCAUUGGGACAAAACUUGACAAGGGAAAAAGAGUGCAUAAGCAACACUUAACCCUUUACCGAUCCUCUUGAGCCGUGAUCACUAUGAGUGAGGAUUGAACGACGUCUUCUUGAGUCUUGUUUAGCUCCUUUAGAAGUCCAUUGAUGGCUUGGUUGAACUUCUUAUAUCUUGAUCGUGUUAGAGGACCCGCCGGGAUGAUCAAUGCUUCCUCCGGUACAAGCUGUUCUUCGUGUG
This 669-nucleotide long non-coding RNA is filed under the name Capsella grandiflora. Its description in RNAcentral is "long non-coding RNA (CGRA_LNC001812)". The record is from RNAcentral. Lineage: Eukaryota; Viridiplantae; Streptophyta; Magnoliopsida; Brassicales; Brassicaceae.